CUAGGCGGCCAUACUACUCUGAGAAAGCCCAAUCUCAUCUGAUCUCGGAAGCCAAACGGGGUCAGCCGUGGUUAUUACAUAGAUGGGAUACCGACUGUGAAUCCUGUUCCGUCGGCU
RNAcentral lists this ribosomal RNA (117 nucleotides) under Hippocampus comes (tiger tail seahorse). Lineage: Eukaryota; Metazoa; Chordata; Actinopteri; Syngnathiformes; Syngnathidae. The record is from RNAcentral.